UGGGGAAUCUUGCACAAUGGGCGAAAGCCUGAUCCAGCAAUGCCGCGUGUGUGAAGAAGGUCUUCGGAUUGUAAAGCACUUUCGGCGGGGACGAUGAUGACGGUACCCGCAGAAGAAGCCCCGGCUAACUUCGUGCCAGCAGCCGCGGUAAUACGAAGGGGGCUAGCGUCGCUCGGAAUGACUGGGCGUAAAGGGCGCGUAGGCGGAUGGCACAGUCAGAUGUGAAAUUCCCGGGCUUAACCUGGGGGCUGCAUUUGAUACGUGUUGUCUGGAGUGAGGAAGAGGGUCGUGGAAUUCCCAGUGUAGAGGUGAAAUUCGUAGAUAUUGGGAAGAACACCGGUGGCGAAGGCGGCGACCUGGUCCUUUACUGACGCUGAGGCGCGAAAGCGUGGGGAGCAAACAGGAUUAGAUACCCUGGUAGUCCACGCUGUAAACGAUGUGUGCUGGAUGUUGGGCGACCUAGUCGCUCAGUGUCGUAGCUAACGCGAUAAGCACACCGCCUGGGGAGUACGGCCGCAAGGUUG
Molecule: ribosomal RNA, 524 nt
Filed under: uncultured bacterium
Lineage: Bacteria
Description: bacterial SSU rRNA
Rfam family: Bacterial small subunit ribosomal RNA
Source: RNAcentral